GAUCCUGGCUCAGAUUGAACGCUGGCGGCAUGCUUUACACAUGCAAGUCGAACGGCAGCAUAGAGAGCUUGCUCUCUGAUGGCGAGUGGCGAACGGGUGAGUAAUACAUCGGAACGUGUCCGUUUGUGGGGGACAACCACCCGAAAGGGUGGCUAAUACCGCAUAAGACCUGAGGGUGAAAGCCGGGGACCGCAAGGCCUGGCGCGAACGGAGCGGCCGAUGACUGAUUAGCUGGUGG
This 238-nucleotide ribosomal RNA is filed under the name uncultured bacterium. RNAcentral's name for it is "partial 16S ribosomal RNA". It matches the Rfam family "Bacterial small subunit ribosomal RNA", at positions 15 to 251 of the family's 1533-position model. The record is from RNAcentral.